GUUUAAAUAAUUUAUGGUGUAGUUGGUAUUCACAUCUGUCUAACACACAGGAGGUUUUCAGUUCAAAUCUGAAUAAAAACA
Non-coding RNA from Massospora cicadina, 81 nucleotides. NCBI's taxonomy places the organism in Eukaryota, Fungi, Entomophthoromycota, Entomophthoromycetes, Entomophthorales, Entomophthoraceae. The record is from the annotation of a GenBank genome assembly.